UCCGGCUUAACGCCGGCAGUCCCCCUAGAGUGCCCAACUGAAUGGUGGCAACUAAGGGCGAGGGUUGCGCUCGUUGCGGGACUUAACCCAACAUCUCACGACACGAGCUGACGACAGCCAUGCACCACCUGUGAUCCUGCCCACAAGGGGAAACCGUGUUUCCACGGCGGUCAGGAACAUGUCAAACCCAGGUAAGGCUCUUCGCGUUGCGUCGAAUUAAACCACAUGCUCCGCUGCUUGUGCGGGUCCCCGUCAAUUCCUUUGAGUCUUAGCCUUGCGGCCGUACUCCCCAGGCGGGGUGCUUAAUGCGUUAGCGACGGCACGGAAGGGGUUGAUGCCUCCCACACCUAGCACCCAACGUUUACGGCUGGGACUAC
RNAcentral lists this unclassified non-coding RNA (377 nucleotides) under uncultured Actinomycetes bacterium. RNAcentral describes it as "uncultured actinobacterium contains 16S-23S intergenic spacer region". The record is from RNAcentral. Lineage: Bacteria; Bacillati; Actinomycetota; Actinomycetes.